Molecule: long non-coding RNA, 1970 nt
Filed under: Setaria italica (foxtail millet)
Lineage: Eukaryota; Viridiplantae; Streptophyta; Magnoliopsida; Poales; Poaceae
Description: long non-coding RNA (SITA_LNC003367)
Source: RNAcentral
CCCGGACGAGCUCACCGGAUAGCGCCGCCGCCGAGCCGUUACGCGCUGCCCAGCGUCGUCGUCAUCUCGUUCACCCCCGUACUACCCUAGUUGUGCUUCACGCGAGCCUCUCUGUCUUUUCGUCUAGUUUCCGCCUCGUUUGGUCACCGGACACGCGAUUCCGCGUUGCUCCGGCGAGCCGCCGCCGCCCGCCGCCGCUCACCGCCGGUCGCCGCCGCCACGUCAGCUCACAGCCGUCCGAUCUGGAGCGAACGGCUCAGAUCCAUCGCGCCCAGUCAACCGCCGCUUCCCUUUUGCGAAAAAGCCCUCGCAUUUUCUGCAUUUUGCGCCGUGGUUCGCAGCAGUUUAAAACCUUUUCCAAGAGGUCCUAUUUUCUUCCCUUUUAAACCUCGAACUUUUGUAAAAUCAACCCGCAGUACGUAGAGCACUUUUGUGCGUAAAACCUUCGGUUUAUGUCCUAAUUGUGUUUAGAUCCUCGGUUUCUUGCUGUUAAGCCCCUGAAAAUUUAGUUUUCUCGCAGGUAGGCUCCUGUAGCUUGUUUUAUGCAUACCUUUUGCAUCCUAGCUCCGUUUUUAGCGUUCUUUAUGUCCACAAGUUCGUUUCCACGCAUAGAAGAGUUUUGUAAGCUUGUUUUCUUCUAUUUAUUUUGAUUGGUGUAUUGUUUUCUCAUUUCAUGCUUUUGUUGCUUGUAUAUGCGUGCUCUAGAUGUUUGCUUUGGAUGAUUGUGUGGUGCUAGAAGGAGCAUAGUUUGAGGAAUCUGAAGGAGAAGAAGACUGAAGACUCUAGGCAGCAGCAGGGCUUUGAGAAAGGCAAGUGUCCUUGGUCAUUCCUGUUUAUACCUAAAUGACAUGCAAUAGAUUGACAAUAUUUAUUUAUCGCUUGCAUUAACAUGAUGGGUUCCUAUUAAGGAUCAUGCCUAGUUUCUUUUGAUCAUACCUUGCAGUCGGGUUGUUUAAUUAAAUUUGACAGUAGAUAAUGCUUAGUUUGCUCAACUGGGUUCGUAAAUAAACAACAUGGAUAAAUUUAUUUAUUUACUCUAUGUUCCUCUGUGUUGAUUUAAUUACAAGACCAUAUUUGUUAAUCGAAAUAUGGAGCAACCACCUAGAAAAACAUUGCAACCACAAGAAUUAAACAGCUCUAGUCUUGGCUAACUAAUUAGAGGACUCUAGUGUUGGACUGGUGAUAAAGGGGGGCAUGACUUGCGGAACCUCAUGCACUAGAACACACUAGGAAAGUCCGUGUAAAGGUCUAGUAGAGUCCCUAUGCAAUCACACAUCAGAAGUGUGGUAUUGUGCCUACUUUUGCAUAACAUGGUUGGGUUUAAAGUUCUCUUGAACUUUUAUGCGACUUGUGCGUAAAGAUGUACAACCUCUGUAGAGUGUUUAAAAACUGUUAUAACAGCCAUGCUCACGGUCAAGAGCGGCUUGGACCCUCACAUGAUUAAUUCACUUAAAGACGAAACAACUUGUGUUAAUGGUUAUGUUCAUACAUUUGGUAUAUCAAUCCUCUAUAUUAAUUGUGGGAUGGUAUAAACUUACAUUUGCUAGUAAUUAGCUGUUGAAUAAAACUUGACCAACCAAAAGUGCUAAUCGCAGUUAACCUUGUCAGCCUUCCACCAUAUAAAGCCUUGCAUGUCAUAUAUUUUCUCUCUUGCUGAGUAUGGCAUGUGCUCACGCUUAUGUUUUAUAUAUUGCAUCUACAACGUCUGGAUUGCUGCUUAGACCCAGAGAACUUUGAGGAUAAUACUGGAGUUUUUGGAGGAGUUCUAGGCAAGUCCCCUAGUCAGCUGCCUGUGGAGUUGUUAGUGAUCCGCUGCUUAUACUAGAGAUUUUUAUCUCAUUUCUGGUUGUGUAAUCUAUGUAACUCUCUCUGUCUUUACGCUUUAACACUGUAUUUGAUAUUUACUAAAGUCAUUGUAUGUGUGAAAUUUGAUCCUGGCACACAUAUGAUAGUCAUCUGAUUUUGCCUUU